RNAcentral lists this long non-coding RNA (628 nucleotides) under Chrysolophus pictus (golden pheasant). RNAcentral describes it as "lncRNA (ENSCPIG00010000184.1)". Lineage: Eukaryota; Metazoa; Chordata; Aves; Galliformes; Phasianidae. The record is from RNAcentral.
GAGGGCAAGAUGGCGGAGAGGGGUGAGAUGGCAGAGGGGGGCGAGAUGGUUGCCAGGGACAGAAUGGUGGAUGGGGGCAUGAUGGCUACCAAGGGCAAGAUGGCAGAGGGAGACAAGAUGGUGGCCAAGGGGAAGUUGGCAGCCAAGGAGGGCAAGAUGGCAGCCAGGGACAAAAUGGUGGAUGGGAGCAAGGUGGCUACCAAGGGCAAGAUGGCGGAGGGAGACAAGAUGGUGGCCAAGGAGGGUGUGAUGGCGGCCCAUGAGGACAAGAUGGCAGCCCUGGAGGUCUGCAAGAUGGCAGCCAUGGAGGACUGCAAGAUGGCGGCCAGAGGUGUGAAGGUGGGGACGGGAGAGGGCACCAAGAUGGCGGCCGGGCAGGAGGUCAAGAUGGCGGCUGAGGAGGACAUCAAGCUGGCGGAGGAGGAGACAAAGAUGGCGGCCCAGUGAGUCCCUUCCCCCCCCCCAUUUCCCCAAUGAUGUCACACCAUUGGCCCGACCUGGUGACAUCAUCACCCUGUGCUCCAAUCAGAUGACAUCACGGUUUAUUGCCCCGCCCCCCCUCGUGACGUCAUCAACCUGCGUCCACCCCAAUGAGUCUUCAUCUACUCCCCUCUUUAUUUGCCCCACG